UACGGAGGGGGCGAGCGUUGUUCGGAUUUACUGGGCGUAAAGCGUGCGUAGGUGGUUUCCUAAGUUAGAAGUGAAAGCCCAGGGCUUAACCCUGGAAUUGCUUUUAAGACUGGGUCACUAGAAUCUAGGAGAGGCAGAUGGAAUUCCGAGUGUAGAGGUGAAAUUCGUAGAUAUUCGGAGGAACACCAAUGGCGAAAGCAGUCUGCUGGACUAGUAUUGACACUGAGGCACGAAAGCGUGGGGAGCAAACAGG
RNAcentral lists this ribosomal RNA (253 nucleotides) under uncultured bacterium. RNAcentral describes it as "partial 16S ribosomal RNA". It matches the Rfam family "Bacterial small subunit ribosomal RNA", at positions 524 to 776 of the family's 1533-position model. The record is from RNAcentral.